AGAGUUUGAUCAUGGCUCAGGAUGAACGCUGGCGGCGUGCUUAACACAUGCAAGUCGAACGAAGCACUUUAUUUGAUUUCCUUCGGGACUGAUUAUUUUGUGACUGAGUGGCGGACGGGUGAGUAACGCGUGGGUAACCUGCCUUGUACAGGGGGAUAACAGUUGGAAACGGCUGCUAAUACCGCAUAAGCGCACAGCAUCGCAUGAUGCAGUGUGAAAAACUCCGGUGGUAUAAGAUGGACCCGCGUUGGAUUAGCUAGUUGGUGAGGUAACGGCCCACCAAGGCGACGAUCCAUAGCCGACCUGAGAGGGUGAUCGGCCACACUGGGACUGAGACACGGCCCAGACUCCUACGGGAGGCAGCAGUAGGGAAUCUUCGGCAAUGGGGGCAACCCUGACCGAGCAACGCCGCGUGAGUGAAGAAGGUUUUCGGAUCGUAAAGCUCUGUUGUAAGUCAAGAACGAGUGUGAGAGUGGAAAGUUCACACUGUGACGGUAGCUUACCAGAAAGGGACGGCUAACUACGUGCCAGCAGCCGCGGUAAUACGUAGGUCCCGAGCGUUGUCCGGAUUUAUUGGGCGUAAAGCGAGCGCAGGCGGUUUGAUAAGUCUGAAGUUAAAGGCUGUGGCUCAACCAUAGUUCGCUUUGGAAACUGUCAAACUUGAGUGCAGAAGGGGAGAGUGGAAUUACAUGUGUAGCGGUGAAAUGCGUAGAUAUAUGGAGGAACACCGGUGGCGAAAGCGGCUCUCUGGUCUGUAACUGACGCUGAGGCUCGAAAGCGUGGGGAGCGAACAGGAUUAGAUACCCUGGUAGUCCACGCCGUAAACGAUGAGUGCUAGGUGUUGGAUCCUUUCCGGGAUUCAGUGCCGCAGCUAACGCAUUAAGCACUCCGCCUGGGGAGUACGACCGCAAGGUUGAAACUCAAAGGAAUUGACGGGGGCCCGCACAAGCGGUGGAGCAUGUGGUUUAAUUCGAAGCAACGCGAAGAACCUUACCAGGUCUUGACAUCCCGAUGCUAUUUCUAGAGAUAGAAAGUUACUUCGGUACAUCGGUGACAGGUGGUGCAUGGUUGUCGUCAGCUCGUGUCGUGAGAUGUUGGGUUAAGUCCCGCAACGAGCGCAACCCCUAUUGUUAGUUGCCAUCAUUCAGUUGGGCACUCUAGCGAGACUGCCGGUAAUAAACCGGAGGAAGGUGGGGAUGACGUCAAAUCAUCAUGCCCCUUAUGACCUGGGCUACACACGUGCUACAAUGGUUGGUACAACGAGUUGCGAGUCGGUGACGGCAAGCUAAUCUCUUAAAGCCAAUCUCAGUUCGGAUUGUAGGCUGCAACUCGCCUACAUGAAGUCGGAAUCGCUAGUAAUCGCGGAUCAGCACGCCGCGGUGAAUACGUUCCCGGGCCUUGUACACACCGCCCGUCACACCACGAGAGUUUGUAACACCCGAAGUCGGUGAGGUAACCUUUUGGAGCCAGCCGCCUAAGGUGGGAUAGAUGAUUGGGGUGAAGUCGUAACAAGGUA
Molecule: ribosomal RNA, 1516 nt
Filed under: metagenome
Description: bacterial SSU rRNA
Rfam family: Bacterial small subunit ribosomal RNA
Source: RNAcentral